This 349-nucleotide ribosomal RNA is filed under the name uncultured Erysipelothrix sp. RNAcentral describes it as "bacterial SSU rRNA". It matches the Rfam family "Bacterial small subunit ribosomal RNA", at positions 1033 to 1382 of the family's 1533-position model. The record is from RNAcentral. Lineage: Bacteria; Bacillati; Bacillota; Erysipelotrichia; Erysipelotrichales; Erysipelotrichaceae.
UACAGGUGGUGCAUGGUUGUCGUCAGCUCGUGUCGUGAGAUGUUGGGUUAAGUCCCGCAACGAGCGCAACCCUUGUCUUCAGUUACCAGCAUUGAGUUGGGGGACUCUGGAGAGACUGCCGGUGACAAACCGGAGGAAGGUGGGGAUGACGUCAAAUCAUCAUGCCCCUUAUGACCUGGGCUGCACACGUACUACAAUGGCGUAUACAACGGGAAGCGAAGUGGUGACACGGAGCAAAUCUCACAAAGUACGUCUCAGUUCAGAUUGAAGUCUGCAACUCGACUUCAUGAAGUCGGAAUCGCUAGUAAUCGCGGAUCAGCAUGCCGCGGUGAAUACGUUCUCGGGCCUU